AGCGUGCGUGCGUGCGUGCCAUCUUUGUCACCGCGCCCGCCGCUUGCCCCCCGUACGUGCGGCGCGCGAAUCUGAGCCCCCGUCAUCCACACGCCGCGGCGGUUAGGAUCCGGUUCCCGAUCGGCACCGACACGGGGAGAUCCGCCCAGAAAAUGACCCGGAAAAGUUCCAAAGCUGGCGCGCGGCGAGGAGAUGGAUGGGAUGGGGAAAUGAAGAGGGAGCGGCCGAGAAGGAGACGGCCGCGCCGCCGCCGCCGCGAGGCCAUGGCUGCCGGAGCGGUGGCGGCUCCGGCUCCGGCUCCAGGCGUCCCGGCGCACCCGGAUCCCGCGCGAGGUUGGUGGCGACGAUUUUUUUAGGCGGUUCUUCUUCUCCGGCUCUGUUGGCUGUUUCAGUGUGCUUCUACUGCCACGGCCUGCCGCCCCUUGUUUCGCGGCGGAUCUGUCUCGAUCCGUUGAAGCUGGCACGCACAACGGAAGCAAGGUGGAGAGAACAUACAGGGUGCCGCUCGAGGGGGCGUGCACGCAUCGGCGUCCCCAGGAGCGUGGCAUGAGCAUGUUGGAGGGUGCUCAGCCUCGGUACAAUCGUUCUAGACUACAGGGAUAAUCAGUGCUAAUCCUUGAGCUCCAGCUUCACUACUCACUACAGGGAUAAUUCACACAAUGCUUUCCCUGCAGGCGCAAGAAAUGGAUAAAUGUGAUGAAGCCCUUGGACUGCUGAAUUUGCACUGGAGUCUGUCCUAAACUAUUCAGGAGCUUACCAACAACUGUCAUGCAUUCUUGGUCAUGAAUGCAGCCAGGCAGACUCCCCGACGGUGACACGGGAGAUUCAGUCGACCAUUUUUGUUCUAGGCUUGCAUUGUGUGAUUUUUCGGAAGCAUAUGCUCAAGCUGCAACAGUAUUGUGACUGCAGAAUUCAGCUAAAUUUCCGUUUUUUAUAGAGUACCGACCAGUCAAAUAUCAGUCCUGUUCACAUCACCUUGAUGCAAGCACAUCAUUGGAUCUCAGGUUUGCAUUGGUAAAAUUUGUAAGUUGUAGUCCUAGUAUGCAAGGCUGUUAGGUGCAUGGGUGUCAGGGGUGCACUGUCAAGCUCUUUUAUAUCUGAAAGGGACCACUGAGCAAACGGUACUACCAUCUUUACACAUUACUACUGUGCAGUAACUUGCACCACUAGAUGCGAAACCCACCACAGGAUAGGAUAUAUCUCACAUAAAUCCAACGGUUAUGCUUCCCCUCUGCCUCUCCUAUACCCCUCCAUGGCGUUGGUCGGUGGCAUCCAUUUCCGAAAACAAAGCUAUGUCCAACCGUUGCUUCUGUGCUUCAGUAUGCAGGUGUUUCAGGAGAACAUAAACACGCAGCGCAGGAAUCAAGGCACACAACACGGUGAUAAGGGAUCACAAUGAGAUGAAAUACUUUUGUCACAACUGUCAAAUGUAAAAUUCCACAUGGACUUUAUUCUUUUUCGAAUCAGUGUCAGUUGCAUUUGUCGUAUGAAGUAUAUGUUACGGUCUGAUAAAUUUAUCCGUUCUCAUGACUGUAAACUGUCGAGCACCAUGUUAGGAGGGUAAAUCACGAACAGUUGAUGUUUUACACCUAUAACUUCAAGAGCAAGCACAAGCAGUCUUCAGGCCAUCCCAAGAUUGGGUCUGCGCUUUUCUAUCGCUAACCUGGCUCUGUUGUUUGUUAAGUCCAGGACGACAUUUCACAUGUAUGCUACUGAUAAUAGCCUGUUGCUGCAAGUGUUUGGUUGUUUUCUACUCCCUCCUUUCCAUAAUUAUGGAACAGAGGGAGCAGUAUUUUGUUAGCAUUGGAUCUCUGCACUUUCUCGGUUUCCUUACAUGAAAUCAGCGGUCGUCUACCUUCUGAACUGAAAGACAAACAAUUUUACUUAGCCUAGCAUAUUUGAUGAUUUACUGUUUGUUUACUUAUUUCUUCACUGCAAUUAACCACUAUGCAUUUGAGCAUUUGAUUCGUUAACUGAAUCUGAUUUCACGCAGACUUCAUGACUUUGACUUGCGAGAUUUGGUCCAACAUUGUGUUACACGCUUACAUUGGUGCUUUUCUGGAGUAACGAUCAAGCUGCAACAGUUUUGUGACUGCAGAAUCCAGCAGGCCUUGCAGGGUGUCUGAGGAGAAGAUAAACACGCUACACAGAAAUCAAUACACAAAGCAUGGUGAUCGGGGAUCACGAUCACGAUGAGAUGAGAUGAAAUACAGGAGGCAGCCUACUAGCUCAGAUUCCACGUGCGCAGGGUGUCUCGGGAGAAGAUAAAUGCGCCACACAGAAAUUAAGACACGAAGCACGUUGAUGAUCGGGGAUCACGAUCACGAUGAGAUGAAAUACAGGAGCUAGGCAGCUUUGCUCAGAUUCUACUGUGAGCCAAGGUUCCAUUCGGUCAUUCCCAUGUACUUUGUUUACUUCAGUCCAACUUCGGACAAAACACAGGCAAGCUGUUUUUUACUACUCACAAACCGUCGGAUCACCAGCAGGUGACAGAUCUAUUUAUAUUUUUCUGAUAAUAGCCUGUUGCUGCAAGUGUUUGGUUGUUUUCUAUUCCGUCUGUAAACUAAUAUAAGACAUUUUAGGUCACUACUUUAGCGACCUAAAACAUCUUAUAUUUGUUUACAGACAGAGUAGUAUUUUGUUGGCAUUGGGUCUACAUACUUUCUCAGCCUCCCUACACGACAUUGGGGUUUGUCUACCUUCUGAACCAAAAGACAAAUAGUUACUCUAUUUAGCUUAGACAUUUGAUGUUUCGAUGCUGCAUUGUGUGUUUACUUAAUUCUUCACUGCAAUGAACUAUCAUGCGUUUGAGCAUCUACCUCACUAACUGAAUUUGGUUUAUGCAACAUGACUGACAGGGGAGGUUCCAUCGACCAUUUUACUGUAGGCUUGCAUUAGGAUUUUCUUCAAGCAUGCUGAGGCCGCAACAGUAUUGUUACUUUAGAAUUCAGUGGGGUGAACUUCCUUUCGGUUUAGAAAACCAACCAGUUUAAUUUCAGUUUCGCUCACAUCACCUUGAUGCAAGCUCAUCAUUGGAGCUCAGGUUUGCAUUGGUAAAACAUGCAAGUUGCAGAUCUAGCAUAUAAGGCUGUUAGGUGCACGAGGGUCAGAGGGUGUACUGUCAAUUUUUUUUAUCUGAAAGGGACCGCUGAGCAAACGUUAGUGCCAUCUUUUACACAGUACUAUUGCACAGUAUAACACACCCCUCCCCACCUCCUCUCAAAAAGAAAAGAAAAGGACACCUAUAAGUCCUGAACGUUCGGGAUUUGGCCAGGGUAAAACGAAUGUUUUUUGUGACAAUUUAUGUUUGUUGACCAUGCCAAGUUUAGUUGACAAGCAUGACAAAAUUCAUCCUCAGUUUAUUUUUUGUCAGAAAAUUGCCGUGUCAUCCUCGCGUCAACUAAAAUUGCCAUAAAAAACGUACGAUUUGUCAUGGUCAAAA
Molecule: long non-coding RNA, 3442 nt
Organism: Triticum aestivum (bread wheat)
Lineage: Eukaryota; Viridiplantae; Streptophyta; Magnoliopsida; Poales; Poaceae
Exons: 6
Source: RefSeq, a predicted model, not a curated record